Molecule: ribosomal RNA, 426 nt
Filed under: uncultured bacterium
Lineage: Bacteria
Description: partial 16S ribosomal RNA
Rfam family: Bacterial small subunit ribosomal RNA
Source: RNAcentral
GUGAGGAAUUUUCCGCAAUGGGCGAAAGCCUGACGGAGCAAUGCCGCGUGAAGGAUGAAGGCCUAUGGGUUGUAAACUUCUUUUCUUAGAGAAGAAUAUUGACGGUAUCUGAGGAAUAAGCAUCGGCUAACUCUGUGCCAGCAGCCGCGGUAAUACGGAGGGUGCGAGCGUUGUCCGGAUUUAUUGGGUUUAAAUGGUGCGUAGGCUGGAAGGUCAGUCAGCGGUGAAAAGCUGUCGCUUAACGAUAGUCUUGCCGCAGAUACUUCCUUUCUUGGAUGAGGAGGAGGCCACUGGAACGGAUGGUGUAGCGGUGAAAUGCAUAGAUAUCAUCCAGAACACCGAUUGCGAAGGCAGGUGGCUGUACCUUAAUCGACGCUGAUGCACGAAAGCAUGGGGAGCAAACAGGAUUAGAAACCCGAGUAGUCC